GGGGCUAUAGCACAGUUGGUAGCGCGUCUCAAUGGCAUUGAGAAGGUCAGGGGUUCGAAUCCCCUUAGCUCCA
RNAcentral lists this transfer RNA (73 nucleotides) under Cyanobacteria bacterium UBA8156. Its description in RNAcentral is "tRNA-Ala". It matches the Rfam family "tRNA". From Rfam's summary of the family: Transfer RNA (tRNA) molecules are approximately 80 nucleotides in length. Their secondary structure includes four short double-helical elements and three loops (D, anti-codon, and T loops). RNAcentral also lists the same sequence under 3 other names. The record is from RNAcentral. Lineage: Bacteria; Bacillati; Cyanobacteriota.